This is a long non-coding RNA of Bactrocera latifrons, 459 nucleotides long. RefSeq lists it as uncharacterized. Lineage: Eukaryota; Metazoa; Arthropoda; Insecta; Diptera; Tephritidae. The transcript is spliced from 2 exons. The record is from RefSeq and is a predicted model, not a curated record.
GCUGUUGCAACAAGUUUAAUCAGAAAGUAUUUAAAAAACGGAAUCUGUAUAUAUGUGCUCAAUAACUCUAGACUAAAUAUUUGUAUGUGGAGAGGUUCUAAUUCGUUACUUUUACUACGCGAUUCACAAUAAUAUGAGCUAACUCAAAAAUUAAAAAAAAAAAAUGUUACAGUCAAAAAUUACAUUCGGCUCUGAAUUACUCAAUGUUUCUACAUUUUAUGGAUUCUAUAACCAACUGUAAAGCUUAACUCUUCUUCUUCGGUGAAAACGUUUCACGUUCGUUCUCAAGUUCUGCUAAUGCGUUGUAUUCAAGAUCAUGUCAGCUGUUUAUUUAGCAACAUUAAUGUUCAAGUUUAUUUUUCACGGAGCACGCCUGUUUCGAUUAGUUAAAUCACAAUUUCGUUGAACUCUAGUGAGAUACGAGCAUUUAUUUCUUCUUAUAUCACUCGCGGAGAAGUA